This 73-nucleotide transfer RNA is filed under the name Verrucomicrobiota bacterium. RNAcentral's name for it is "Verrucomicrobia bacterium (soil metagenome) tRNA-Thr". It matches the Rfam family "tRNA". From Rfam's summary of the family: Transfer RNA (tRNA) molecules are approximately 80 nucleotides in length. Their secondary structure includes four short double-helical elements and three loops (D, anti-codon, and T loops). Lineage: Bacteria; Pseudomonadati; Verrucomicrobiota. The record is from RNAcentral.
GCCAGUUUAGCUCAGUUGGUAGAGCAACGCAUUCGUAAUGCGUAGGUCCUCGGUUCGAAUCCGUGAACUGGCU